UACGGUGAAGCCGCGAAUAGCUCAUUACAACAGCCAUCGUUUAUUAGAAUAUCGUUAUCCUACUUGGAUAACUGUGGCAAUUCUAGAGCUAAUACAUGCAAUAAAGCUCUGCCCGCAAGGAACGAGCGCAUUUAUUAGAAUAAAAACCAAUCGGGUUUCGGCUCGUAAUUUGGUGAAUCUGAAUAACUUUGCCAAUCGCACAGUCCUAGUACUGGCGAUGUAUCUUUCAAGUGUCUGCCUUAUCAACUUUCGAUGGUACGCUAUACGCCUACCAUGGUAGUAACGGGUAACGGAGAAUAAGGGUUCGACUCCGGAGAGGGAGCCUGAGAAACGGCUACCACAUCCAAGGAAGGCAGCAGGCGCGCAAAUUACCCACUUCCAGAACGGAGAGGUAGUGACGAAAAAUAACGAGACAGUCCUCUUCGAGGUCUGUCAUCGGAAUGGGUACAAUUUAAAUCCUUUAACGAGGAUCUAUUGGAGGGCAAGUCUGGUGCCAGCAGCCGCGGUAAUUCCAGC
This 516-nucleotide ribosomal RNA is filed under the name unidentified nematode Sourhope farm. Its description in RNAcentral is "SSU rRNA". It matches the Rfam family "Eukaryotic small subunit ribosomal RNA", at positions 77 to 589 of the family's 1831-position model. The record is from RNAcentral. Lineage: Eukaryota; Metazoa; Nematoda.